This 236-nucleotide ribosomal RNA is filed under the name uncultured bacterium. RNAcentral describes it as "partial 16S ribosomal RNA". It matches the Rfam family "Bacterial small subunit ribosomal RNA", at positions 99 to 334 of the family's 1533-position model. The record is from RNAcentral.
CGGACGGGUGAGUAAUACGUAGGAAUCUGCCCUAGAGUGGGGGAUAACCUGCCGAAAGGCGGGCUAAUACCGCAUAAUCUCUACGGAGCAAAGGUGCCAUGUACUUGUACAUGGUUUCGCUUUAGGAUGAGCCUACGUCGGAUUAGCUUGUUGGUGGGGUAAAAGCCUACCAAGGCGACGAUCCGUAGCUGGUCUGAGAGGACGAUCAGCCACACUGGAACUGAGACACGGUCCAG